UCUUUCCUUACUUUGUGGUCGCUCCACGCUUAGUAAUCUGUUUUAUGCGCUAAUCUCCUUUUUAAAUAACAUUGUUGAAAUUAUUAAUUAAACUUUGUUUCUAUUUAUAGUUAUAGAUAUUUCAGAUUGGACUCACUCGACCAGCUGUUUGGUCCAAAGUGACGUCAGUUUUUCCCGGUCUUCUAAUUGGUUGAUUGACUUCCUCAACGUUGUGACCGGAUUCAAGUCUCUCGGAAAGAACUUCAGAUGGAAUUUGGCUUCAAAUAAUCAUCAUUGCUGAUGCAGGUGUGACGUUCCCACUGGUCGGCGCACUGGCUAUGAGCGGGACACGGUGACGAGACGCACGGGUUCCCCACAUUGCAGCCCGUUUCCACCUUCACAGUUCUUGAAGGGCGGGGAAGAGGAGGAGCGUCUGGCCGGACACCCAGGCGGACACCCUGAAAAAAACCCAUGUGACCACAGAGCCCAGCACUCCUCCCACGUGCAGAUGUUUCACCUUCAAACCAUGAAUCUCAUUUUCCACGAUCACCGUUCCCUAAUGGAUGGGAAGGAUCGAGAGAGUCCAAAGUCCAGUCGCAGCGUGGCAACGUAUCGUGUCUCCCGACCACUGCGGACGUCUCUCAGCUCCAGCUGCAGGUCAUGCCAGCGACCGUCAGCUACCUGAACCUGGUCCAGCCUGAGACGUACCGGCCGCAUUGACCCUCCGGUCACAGAGAACACCAGCUGGCCAUUUAUCACCUGAUGCAAGUGUACCCUCCCUCUCUGCGGGCACACACCCCCCCAUUGAGACAGGGGUUGGAGUAGCACAAGUUGAUCUCCGUCUCGCAGUAGUCUCCAGUGAAGCCCACGGGGCAGCGGCAGCGGAGGCCGGCAAUCGGGUGUAUCGGACGAAACAGAAUUGAAGGAAUUCCUAUCCCGGAAUUGAAACUAGCGUCCCUGUCCACUCUGUGUGGGUGAACAGAACAGCAGCAUCACCUGCGAUGGAGUGACAGAACUUCGUAGCAAGUAUUGGAUUUCCGUCACUCAAGUCUCUGCUGGAGAGCUUUGGAACACUUCCCAAGAAAGGUGACCAGGUGUUAUCUUUACAAGGUGCCCAAGUAUCAGCGAAGCGCAUCAGACAAUUUUCAAGCAGAGGAGGAAAGUCUCUCUCUGGAGGUUGUUUGUAUCGCCCACAAUGUUGAAGUCCCAGCCUUCGUCCCAGUGGCAAGGAAGACGAUUCCAAGUCAAAAAAUGCGAUCUCACCAUUCCUGCACCUCUGAACACGGCAGCCUCGACAACGCAGGGCGAGAAGAAUAGCGCCCCCAAGUGGUCGGUCAGCAGAACAGUCCUCAGCUGGCCCAGAGUGAGGGUGUCUGGAGAGGGUGUGUUGGGUCUGGGGUGAAGAGCUGGACAGUUGAGCACCAAGCGACCUUGCCUCUGACAAAAAGGGCUCAAGUAAUCAGCCGCUCCGCUUGCCAGCACGGCUCUGAAGGCUGCGGGUCGGUCCACUCUCACUCGCAGGCCCUCGCCCAUCACCUCACCACCUGCCACUGGGAGAACCCCGCAUCCACGAAGAGACAGGACUCUGGACAUCACCGCUGGAGGAACCUGACGGACAAGAUGAUUCGGACCCACCUGGCCGUCUGCGUACAGCGUGUUGAGCACCGUGGUCGGCGACAGGAAGUCUCUGUUCCGGAUAUUCUUGGCGCUGCUCUCCUUGAACCAGAGCUUCUCCGGGUCCGGAAAGAUCCGCUCACCGUCCCCAUGCUGCGGCUUCGCCCGGAGCGCGGAGCUCAGCGCCUGCACUGUCGGAGUGAUCCGCAGGGGAGAGGACUCCUCCAUGUUCUGCAUCCACCACCAGCACAGGAAACCAUGGAGCUGAGAGACGUCCAGGUUCCUGAGGAGCAGAGGGCCUCGGAGCAGCUCCACCUUUGAAACUCAGUCUACUGCUCGGGGUCACUUCCUGCCAGCCUUAUAUGGAAGCUGGUCUCCCGAGUACAUCAUGGCUCUGCAGGGAGGAAGAGAUGGUGUCUGUGGUGGUGACCCUGUUAUGUUGUUUUUCUAUCUCACUGGUGGUUUAAAAACUUUGGUGUAGUUUGCGAACUACACCAGACAAACUACCACUUAAACAAACUACAUCAUGAAUUUAUUAAAUUAUAUCAAUAAUAUAAUAUUAUAUACAAUAUUAUAUAAUAAAAAAAAUUCUAUGAUAAACUACACCCAGGUUUGGUGUAGUUCAUCAUAGAAUGGGUGUGUUUUUUUUCAAUCCAGUUUUGGUGUAUGUUUCGUGUCAAUGCAACCAAAUGACCAAAGGAGGAAUUGUGAGGAGCAAAAUUAAAACUCAAUAAAACAUGGUCAGCAAUCACAGUUGUCUUGUGGCCUGUCUGCAGACUUGCACCUCCCAUCAACAAACACCAGGCUGAAGUCUGACAAGUCAAGAUUAUAACGGUUCAUUCUUUAAAAAUCCUGAAGAGGGCGACUAGAGGGUUGCACGACAUCAGAGAGCAGCAGCACCUGAAUGCAUCAUGGAUGGACCUGCGUCCGACACCCACCUGACGUGCGUGAGGCUCUUGGCGCCGAUGUCCUGGCAGGAAUGUUGCGUCCCAGCCAGCAGACCAGGAGCGGCGUCAGUGGUCGACAUCUCAACAUGGUGGGACUCGUGUCUGCUGUACCUGAAGUAUCUGGUCUGGGAGCCCAGGUUCUUGUCCAUGGCAUCCAGGGAGCCCAUGCCGCGGUACUUCUUCAGGCGGAUGCCGUCAGAAAAGAAGUACUCGCCGGGAGCUUCGCUGGUGGCGGCGAGCAGCGAGCCCAUCAUCACUGGAGCGGGAGCAGGCUUCAGCAUGUGAAGGUCAGCUGCAGGACCAUGACUGACCUGUGGAGGCUCCCAGAGCCAGAGCUUUGGCGAUGUGUCCCACCGUCUGGAUCCCUCCGUCCGCAAUGACGGGAACGCCGAAGCGCCGCGCGUACUCCGACACUUUGUACACAGCCGUGGCCUGAGGGCGGCCGCACGCCAGCACUGGAGGAGAGAGGGGAGGGUCAGAGGUCACGGUUGGAACUGCACUUGGACGAAUAAGAGGAAGUCACAUGCAUCCAGGGAGGGAGGGGCCAAGAGCAGCACGUGAGAAGGAGGAAGUGAGUGAGACGACCAAACACUUUCACACCACAUGCAUCCUGCACUGCACACACAGGAAGCAUGCUAGUGGAUCGACCGCGUUCUGGAGCCACGACCCACACAUAGGGGGCGCUGGAGACGAACAAGAUCAUGGAGCGGACUCACGGGCCUUUCUGACUGGACCCUCACACAACACCAUGAGACGGCUCACCCUGACCUCAGUGUGUUACAGACAGCCUGCUGACUGAAGGUUACAGGGGUCAAAGGUCAGUCACUACAGCAGAGCGCAGGCAGUGGUCUCCUCCACCGUCAGACUGUGUUCGUCACAACCCCACAGCAUCACGUGACGGGAGGUCAGCCCUUCUAGGCUGAUCAGCUUUUGUCAAAUGACAAACAGCAGCAGGGGGCGGAGCAUCAAGUCUGGGGGUUGGGGAGACUGCAGCAGUGAGGACACACCCCAAAACCCCCAACAUCAGCCGGCUGGCCAGAGCACAGUGACACUAGCAAGCUGCAGGGAACUUACUGGAGUAUCCCGUCACAGAUGUUGGGGUUUUGGGGCUGUGGAGCUUAAUGGCUGGAGGGACACUGAGGGGAGCUGGACUCACACAGACACAGACAGACAGACAGAGGUGAAUGUAAGGAAGAUGGUGACAGAAGGGACGGAGGAGGAGUGAGGCGUCUGCCCAGGUGACUCCAAGUUUGUGAGAGCUGUUUCCACUGAGGCGUCGCUCCAUCACCGCCAGUGUUUCCCUGAGCUCCUGUGUGUGGGGGCGUCACUCACCUUCCUGUGUGAUGCAGAUGGAGCCGCUGCCCAUCCCGACCCGGAGCCCGUCCACGCCUGCGUCGAUCAGGUUCUUGGCCUGAGCCGCUGUGACCACUGGAGGGGAGAGAGGUGGGAGGUGUUCAGUCUGAGAGAGGUGACAAAUAGGGCUGGGAUGACGCGUCGACGUCAUCAAUGACGUCGAUGCAAAACAAAUAUGUCGACGCGAAAACUGCACGUCGAUGCGUCGUCACUCAGAAUCAAAAAAUGGCGGCGGCAUCGAGUAGCAGCGGGUUGGGGGAGAAGAAAAGAUGUCGUAAUAAGAUGUCCAAGGUAUGGGAGUACUUUACACCGAAAGGUAAUGAUGCACCAGCACCUUAGAGGAGGCACCCGGGAACUGCUUGUGUGGAGAAGCCACCGUAGGUUUUCAACUUUUUUUUUCUAUCCUUGUUUGCAAUGAUUAACCCCGUCAUUCAUCCAAAGCGCACCACGUAACUUGUGCUCCUGCCUCGCACACAUGGAACACGUGACCACUUAAACACACACCUCAUUCCUCCUGAAUCAUCAAAUGUGGAACAUAAGUGGACAUGAACAGCAGUCCCUCCUCAAAACCAACAUGAAAUGUUGUCGCUAGCAACCAGCUCCCAUUAUUAGCUGUCUUUUUGAUACAAAUCACGUCUUUCUGUGAAAGCACAUCUUGAGGGCUGCACCUUCUCAGACAAGGAGAAAAUAAAUUGGGCCGCUGGAUGAACACACCACGCUAAAGUUCCUUUUUUUUUUUAUUUCUUUGUCUGUCUAUUUUUUUAAUACAUUUUCAUACACAUUCAUUGUUGUUUUCUAACUUUCUACUUUUAGGUUAAUGUAUAUUAUUAUUAUGAUACUUAAUUGACAUGGGCAGAUCAUUCAGAAGUAUAUAUUUGUAUUGAGCUAUGCACCGUGUUUGUGAUUUAUGUUUUCAGGGACAGGGAUAAGCAGAAAGGUUUGGAGGACUACUAUCCCCUGACCCCCCUGGAGGCUGCUGCGCUCACUGAGAGCAUCCUUUUGAUGAUUUCACAGAUUUAAAUGGUUAGGCUUAAGUUGCUGCUGUCACACAUUGUGUUGUUUUGUAAAUUGCAGCUGUCACUGCUGCUGUUAUUUUUUAUUUAUUUUAUGUUGAUAAGAUUGGUUCAGAUUGAGUUGUUUGCAGUUUUAUUUAUUGAAAGAAAGUUUUAUUUUAUUAGAGGAUUCCAUUGCACUGCAACUGUGUGCACUUUAUUGUUCAAUACAAUUCAUUUUUGAACUUGAUCAUAAAAAUAUGUUGGAAAGAAGGAAUUUGUGUUUUAUUCAUGCAGAUAAAUUAGCAUUAAUUACUAUAUAGGUCAAAUUAUGAGGAGAUAAUCGAUUUAAAAAUGAAUCGUUAUAUUAAUCGAUGCAUCGAAAAACUAUUUUCUCGAUUAAUCAAUUACAAAAAUAAUCGUUUAACCCAGGCCUAGUGACAAACUGUCGAGAGCUCUGUGUGUGUACACGUGUAAACAUAUAUUCUUGUGUGGACCAAUCUUUGACAAGACACUGAUCUUAUGAGGACAUUUUGGCCGGUCCACAUGGAGUUUAGAGGGUGAAAAUGUCCAUAUAACUGGCUCAUCACAAGUGGGUUUUAGCUUGGUUCAGAGUCCUGGUUCAGGUUAGCCGUGUGUGUCAGGUUCAGUCAGAGAGGCUGGAGGAAAGCAAACAGCAGUCCUCACAAAGAUAGAGAUACAGAGUGUGUGUGUGUGUGUGUGUGUGUGUGUGUGUGUGUGUGUGUGUGUGUGUGUGUGUGUGUGUGUGUGUGUGUGUGUGUGUGUGUGUGUACCGUUUCCUCCGAUGACCUGCAGGCUGGGGUACUUCUCCUUGAUGUAUUUGAUCAUGUUAAUCUGGAAUAUGGAGUUCCCCUGAGACGAGUCCUGCCGUCACAAAGGCAGUCAGUAAAGCAGCGGUGAAGCCAUGAGCCCGACCUGCCGCGCUCACCAGAACCACCACGUCCACGCCGCUCUGCACCAGCAGGUCCAGCCGGUACUUGUCGUCGUUGUGGGUGCCGAUGGCGGCGCCGCACAGCAGCUGUUUCCGGGAGUCUUUGGAGGCCAGAGGGAAGUCGCGGUUCUUCUUCAGGUCCGUGCGGGCGAUGAUGGCCACCAGGGAGCCCUCCUCGUUCACGAUCGGCAGCUUGCCUGGAGACGGGGGAGUCAUGUGACCCCAGGAGGGUGACAGAAGCGAAUGUGGAAAACCCGACGCUCACCCUUUUUACUCCGCUGAAGGAUCUCAUUGGCUUCUUUCAGCGUGACUCCCGCCGGGGCGACCACCAAGUCCUCGCGCUUGGUCAUCACCUGCAGAGAAGCACACGGUGGCUGAUCCACCUCACGUGGUCCCUGAAGUGCCUCACCUCGCUCAGCAGCAGGUCGUGGUCCUCCUCCUUCAGAAAGUCGAUGUCUCUGGAGGAGAUGAUGCCCACCAGCUUGCCGCCCAUCUUGCCAUUGUCAGUGAUGGGGAUGCCGCAGAAGCCGUGACGGGCUUUGGCUUGGAAAACGUCUCGCACGCGCUCAUUGGGACUCAUCACCACGGGGUCGGUGAUGAAGCCCUGCUCGUACCUCUGGGAGGAGAGAGGCAGUUCAGACACACGCACACACACACACGGUAACUGUACUUCUCUCAGGGAAGGUUUAGAAUAUCUUUCAAUGUGCUGUGGUGAACUUUCUUCGCUGAAAUACUCGCUCCUUUCACAACAAAUAUGGCCACCGAAUCACUCAGGCUCAUGUUCACAUGACUACCUUCACUUUGCGAACUUCAUUGGCCUGGAACUCCGGAGUACAGUUGUGGUGGAUGAAGCCGAUGCCUCCUGUGAGCUGAGAGGCGAGAAACAUGGUGAGUGUGUGUGCGCGUGAGGAGGGUCUGUGUGUGGACUUACUGCCAUGGCGAUGGCCAUGUUGGCCUCGGUGACGGUGUCCAUCGGGGACGAGACAAAGGGCGUCUUCAUUGUGAUUCGCUUGGUGAGAGCCGAGGUCAAGUCCUGGACAGGAGAGGGAGAGUUCACCAUCAGUGGUUUUCCUUCACCGGAGCAGCAGCAGAACAAUGUAGACUGCAGCUCCCUCGCCUCCACUACUGCAGUAAACAACACCGCUUGCCCUAAAAUACCAAUUCUACAGACGAUUAAAAGUAUCACUCAGUCCCAAGAUGUAUGAAGUGUCAUCAGAGUGAUGGUACACUGACCCACAUGUUUUGGUCCCGCACAAAACGGAGGAAUUUUUGGGCCCGUAUUGUCUUUGUUUUUGAUUUUUCCAUUGUUGUUCGGUGGUAUAUCUACAGAUAUGUAUUAUAAUCUGUGGUUUGUCAGCUGUAUAAACAUAUUUGCUUUUUUGGCAAUCACAC
Molecule: long non-coding RNA, 7229 nt
Organism: Synchiropus splendidus (mandarinfish)
Lineage: Eukaryota; Metazoa; Chordata; Actinopteri; Syngnathiformes; Callionymidae
Exons: 15
Source: RefSeq, a predicted model, not a curated record